Molecule: ribosomal RNA, 916 nt
Filed under: uncultured Candidatus Poseidoniales archaeon
Lineage: Archaea; Methanobacteriati; Thermoplasmatota; Candidatus Poseidoniia; Candidatus Poseidoniales
Description: bacterial SSU rRNA
Rfam family: Archaeal small subunit ribosomal RNA
Source: RNAcentral
UUCCGGUUGAUCCUGCCGGAGGCUACCGCUAUUGGAGUUCGAUUAAGCCAUGCGAGUCGAGAGUCUUAGGGACUCGGCGUACCGCUCAGUAACACGUGGGUAACCUGCCCUAUGCUGGGGAAUAACCUCGGGAAACUGAGAAUAAUACCCCAUAGUUCACCACGCCUGGAACGGUGGGUGGAUGAAAGCUCCGGCGGCAUAGGAUGGGCCUGCGACGUAUCAGGUUGUAGGGGGUGUAACGUACCCUCUAGCCAUCAACGCGUACGGGUGUUGGGAGACAUAGCCCGGAGAUGGAUUCUGAGACACGAAUCCAGACCCUACGGGGUGCAGCAGGCGCGAAAACUUGGCAAUGCGAGCAAUCGUGACCAGGGAACUCCAAGUGGCUGGGGUAAUACCCAGUUUUUUCUUGACUCUUCAAAGGUCUUGGAAUAAGGGGUGGGUAAGGACGGUGCCAGCCGCCGCGGUAAUACCGGCGCCUCAAGUGGUAGUCGCUUUUAUUGGGCCUAAAACGUCCGUAGCCGGUCUGGUGCAUUCGUGGGUAAAUCAACCCGCUCAACGGGUUGAAUUCUGCGAGCACGGCCAGACUUGGGACCGGGAGAGGUGUGGGGUACUCUCAGGGUAGGGGUAAAAUCCUGUCAUCCUGAGAGGACCACCUGUUGCGAAGGCGCCACACUAGAACGGAUUCGACGGUCAGGGACGAAACCUAGGGGCACGAACCGGAUUAGAUACCCGGGUAGUCCUAGGUGUAAACGCUGUGGACUUGAUGUUGGGGGUGCUCCGAGCACUCUCAGUGUCGAAGCGAAGGUGAUAAGUCCACUGCCUGGGGAGUACGAUCGCAAGGCUGAAACUUAAAGGAAUUGGCGGGGGAGCACUGCAACCUGAGGAUUGUGCGGUUUAAUUGGACUCAACGCCGGGA